AUACGGAGGGUGCAAGCGUUAUCCGGAUUCAUUGGGUUUAAAGGGUGCGCAGGCGGAUAUUUAAGUCAGUGGUGAAAUCCCGGGGCUCAACCUCGGAACUGCCAUUGAUACUGAAUAUCUGGAAUACGGUUGAAGUGGGCGGAAUGUAGCAUGUAGCGGUGAAAUGCAUAGAGAUGCUACAGAACACCGAUCGCGAAGGCAGCUCACUAAGCCGAUAUUGACGCUCAGGCACGAAAGCGUGGGGAGCGAACAGGAUUAGAAACCCUUGUAGUCC
Molecule: ribosomal RNA, 274 nt
Filed under: uncultured bacterium
Lineage: Bacteria
Description: partial 16S ribosomal RNA
Rfam family: Bacterial small subunit ribosomal RNA
Source: RNAcentral